UGAAGGAAGCUAGUAGUAAUGCAGUCCACUGUUCAAUAAGAAAGUUGUGCUUCGGCGACUGGUUAGCAAUCAGGCGCAACAUAGGGGAAGAAGGGCAAUAGAGGUAUUGAAAAGACUGGCUCACCGUAGAGUAAUGUACCAUUCUUAGUCGGUUCAAGUUCAUGGCUAUAUAUGUUCAUCCACAAAUAAU
Molecule: non-coding RNA, 190 nt
Organism: Erythranthe guttata (spotted monkey flower)
Lineage: Eukaryota; Viridiplantae; Streptophyta; Magnoliopsida; Lamiales; Phrymaceae
Source: RefSeq, a predicted model, not a curated record